AAUUUCUGGCUUGGCAAUUUUGGCCCGGUACGGUAACGUACUGUUUGUGCUGACUGUUGCCGGUCAUCCUUCUGGGUUUAACGGGUCUUUGCCCUUCACGGGGUCGAGGGCUCGCGAACCAGAUCUUUUACUUUGAAAAAAUUAGAGUGUUUAAAGCAGGCGUUUUUGCUAUGAAUACAUUAGCAUGGAAUAAUAAUUUAGGACUUCGGUUCUAUUUUGUUGGUUUCUAGGACUGAAGUAAUGAUUGAUAGGGAUAGUUGGGGGUGCUAGUAUUCAGCGGCCAGAGGUGAAAUUCUCGGAUUCGCUGAAGACUAACUUAUGCGAAAGCAUU
RNAcentral lists this ribosomal RNA (331 nucleotides) under Sarcomonadea sp. Its description in RNAcentral is "SSU rRNA". The stretch from base 111 to 331 matches the Rfam family "Eukaryotic small subunit ribosomal RNA", at positions 735 to 955 of the family's 1831-position model. Lineage: Eukaryota; Cercozoa. The record is from RNAcentral.